AGAGUUUGAUCAUGGCUCAGAUUGAACGCUGGCGGCAUGCUUAAUACAUGCAAGUCGAACGGUAACAGGUCCUUCGGGAUGCUGACGAGUGGCGGACGGGUGAGUAAUGCAUAGGAAUCUGCCCAGUAGUAGGGGACAACCUGAGGAAACUCAGGCUAAUACCGUAUAAGCCCUACGGGAGAAAGGGGGCCUCUUCUUGAAAGCUCUCGCUAUUGGAUGAGCCUAUGUCGGAUUAGCUUGUUGGUGGGGUAACGGCCUACCAAGGCGACGAUCCGUAGCUGGUCUGAGAGGACGAUCAGCCACACUGGGACUGAGACACGGCCCAGACUCCUACGGGAGGCAGCAGUAGGGAAUAUUGGACAAUGGGCGAAAGCCUGAUCCAGCAAUGCCGCGUGUGUGAAGAAGGCCUGCGGGUUGUAAAGCACUUUCAGUUGGGAAGAAAAUCUUUAGGUUAAUAUCCUAAAGUCUUGACGUUACCAACAGAAGAAGCACCGGCUAACUCUGUGCCAGCAGCCGCGGUAAUACAGAGGGUGCGAGCGUUAAUCGGAAUUACUGGGCGUAAAGCGUGCGUAGGCGGUUAAGUCAGUCGGAUGUGAAAGCCCAAGGCUUAACCUUGGAACGGCAUUCGAUACUGCUUAGCUAGAGUACAGUAGAGGGAAGC
Molecule: ribosomal RNA, 661 nt
Filed under: uncultured bacterium
Lineage: Bacteria
Description: bacterial SSU rRNA
Rfam family: Bacterial small subunit ribosomal RNA
Source: RNAcentral